Molecule: non-coding RNA, 385 nt
Organism: Cinara cedri
Lineage: Eukaryota; Metazoa; Arthropoda; Insecta; Hemiptera; Aphididae
Source: the annotation of a GenBank genome assembly
AAUCGUGCAGUCAUAACACCUUGAAACGCAUACGGCGCGGCGUAGACCCUCGGCAUUGUCUCGAACAUUAUCAUACGACAACGGCAUUAUAAUAAUAAUUACGCAAAUUUUCACGAAUGUAGAUUUGUGGGUGUUUUUUUUUUUUCACAGAUAUUAAAGAUGACGCGCAUAUAUCAUGUGGAUUGUUAUUGAUAUCACGAUGCUGUCGGACACAAGAAUUUGUGGUUGCAUAUUUUUUUUUCUCCUACGGCGAGACAAUAUUUCCAUUUUUCAUAGGACCGAAUUUGCUCUGUGAAAAAUGAAUAAUACUUAAUAGUACAAGUGUACGUGCGUGUUCUGAUUAGAGUAUUUUGUAAAAAAAGUUUCCAAAUGGACACCCUGCAGU